RNAcentral lists this ribosomal RNA (439 nucleotides) under uncultured bacterium. RNAcentral's name for it is "bacterial SSU rRNA". It matches the Rfam family "Bacterial small subunit ribosomal RNA", at positions 28 to 450 of the family's 1533-position model. The record is from RNAcentral.
GAUGAACGCUAGCUACAGGCUUAACACAUGCAAGUCGAGGGGCAAGCAUUUUAGUUUGCUUGCAAACUAAAGAUGGCGACCGGCGCACGGGUGAGUAACACGUAUCCAACCUGCCGAUAACUCGGGGAUAGCCUUUCGAAAGAAAGAUUAAUAUCCGAUAGCAUAUUGAGAUCGCAUGAUUUUGAUAUUAAAGAAUUUCGGUUAUCGAUGGGGAUGCGUUCCAUUAGUUGUUGGCGGGGUAACGCCCACCAAGACUACGAUGGAUAGGGGUUCUGAGAGGAAGGUCCCCCACAUUGGAAACUGAGACACGGGUCCAAAACUCCUAACGGGGAGGCAGCAGUGAGGAAUAUUGGUCAAUGGACGAGAGUCUGAACCAGCCAAGUAGACGUGAAGGAUGACUGCCCUAUGGGUUGUAAACUUCUUUUAUACCGGGAAUAAA